Molecule: unclassified non-coding RNA, 595 nt
Filed under: Zea mays
Lineage: Eukaryota; Viridiplantae; Streptophyta; Magnoliopsida; Poales; Poaceae
Description: misc RNA Zm00001eb346850
Source: RNAcentral
CAAUUUCUGGGCGCCGGCAAGGGGAAGCUGCAGGGGGUGGCGCCCAUGGGAAGAGGCUCUCUGCUGAAAAAAAUUCUGGGCGUCACGGCUGGGAGCAGGGGGCCGAGCAGCGGCGUCGUGCCAUGAGGAGGGAAUAGCAGAGCCGCUGCUGGGGGAAAUGCCUGUGUGCUAUGGAGGCCGGCUGGUUUCCAGGGGAGAUGUAGGGCGCAGGGAAACAGGGGCGUCGGCAUGGAGCUUGGGGACGUGCUGGAGGUUGGAGGGUGCGUACGUGAGAGAAGCAACAAGCAGCCAAGGCCAUGGGCGAGCUCCUGCCAUGAAGAAGAAAGGGGCGCUGGGCGGCCUGGAAGCUCCUGCUCCCUGCUGCAGCCGCUCGCCAGGAGGAGCAGGGAGGGCGCCGCUGACCUCUGCUGGUCGUGGAGCAAGGAGCAGGGAACCGGCGGCCACCACGGCUGGGAUGUGGAGCAGAGGACGCGCGCGCGUGCUGGAGUCGGCCCAAGGAAGGGGGAGGAGACGCCAUGGAUGGACAGGGAGGGAGCUCCCUGCGUGCUUCGUGGGGAAGAAAAAGUGGCUGGCGGCUGUGGGAAGUGUAGGGGUG